AAGAGACGCUUGGGAAACUAUACCAAGUUUUCCUACAGAAAUGGGUGAGCUUUUCUCUAAUGGGUGGAACUUGGAUUGCUUUGAUGAUAAUCCUGCAGCCACACUCCCUCCCAUUUCUUUCCAUCAAGGAUUCUCUUCUCCUCUUAAACAAGACUUCAACAAUUACUACUUGAAUGAAGUUUCCUGCCCAUUUGGCAAUGAGUUCUCGACACCACCAUUCACAGAUGAGUUCUCAGCCCCACAGAUUACUGAUUCUUCGUACAACACCCUUGACAUGCCGUCGUUUCCUGUUCAAGAAGAUACUCCAAUGUCCACCAUGGAGGAUGAUCACGACAUGGGCCUGCUUCCAAAUCAUACCCAGAGUAUGGAGAUGCCUGAUUCUUGCAAAGUUGAGCCAAUUCAGUCUCCUGAAAUGCCGGUUUUCAAUAUUGGUUCUUUCCCAGAAAGAAAAAUGAGAGGUAAGAAGUUGGAGGGGG
This 476-nucleotide unclassified non-coding RNA is filed under the name Hevea brasiliensis (rubber tree). The record is from RNAcentral. Lineage: Eukaryota; Viridiplantae; Streptophyta; Magnoliopsida; Malpighiales; Euphorbiaceae.